Molecule: ribosomal RNA, 400 nt
Filed under: uncultured Xanthomonas sp.
Lineage: Bacteria; Pseudomonadati; Pseudomonadota; Gammaproteobacteria; Lysobacterales; Lysobacteraceae
Description: bacterial SSU rRNA
Rfam family: Bacterial small subunit ribosomal RNA
Source: RNAcentral
AGUGAACGCUGGCGGCAGGCCUAACACAUGCAAGUCGAACGGCAGCACAGGAGAGCUUGCUCUCUGGGUGGCGAGUGGCGGACGGGUGAGGAAUAUAUCGGAAUCUACCCUUUCGUGGGGGAUAACGUAGGGAAACUUACGCUAAUACCGCAUACGAACUGAGGUUGAAAGCGGCGGACCGCAAGGCGUCGCGCGGAUGGAUGAGCCGAUAUCCGAUUAGCUAGUUGGCGGGGUAAAGGCCCACCAAGGCGACGAUCGGUAGCUGGUCUGAGAGGAUGAUCAGCCACACUGGAACUGAGACACGGUCCAGACUCCUACGGGAGGCAGCAGUGGGGAAUAUUGGACAAUGGGCGCAAGCCUGAUCCAGCCAUGCCGCGUGUGUGAAGAAGGCCUUCGGGUU